RNAcentral lists this long non-coding RNA (717 nucleotides) under Numida meleagris (helmeted guineafowl). Its description in RNAcentral is "lncRNA (ENSNMEG00000013484.1)". Lineage: Eukaryota; Metazoa; Chordata; Aves; Galliformes; Numididae. The record is from RNAcentral.
AUGAGCCCAUUUCCCCAGAAAUCAGCACAACCACUGUCAGCCAGGAACAAGUCCAGAGCAAGCCCUGGCCAGAGGCAAAGCGCUGGGGAAGAGAGGCAGCUUCAACUUCAGCUCCUGUUCCCAAGCCUCACUGAGCAGAGCGUCCCCGAGCCAAGCCGGGUCCUGAGGAUGGAGGUCCGGGCGCUGACAGCUGCUGCCCUGCUGCUGGCACAGCUCUCCCUGGCCCCAGCACACAUAGAAGCACUGGGGGACUGGGCAGCCCUCCCAGCAAGGCAGCUCGGAGCUGGGGGCCCCACAAACAACCCUCAGCCAGCUGCAGAUGGAGAGGACAACCAUGCAGAUGGCAACCAUCCCCAGGCUGCAGCGUGGGAAGCUCUGGCAGCGCACCACCGCAGCUCUGGGGGUCCGGGCAAGGCCACGGGCAUUGGUGUGCAGGACUUCCUCAGCAGGCCCCGCAGGAGCCCACCACAGCCCUUCCACAGCAGGAGCCUGGGGCUGAGCCAUCACCUGAAGGGCUAUGGGAAGUUCAACACCGACACGCACUCCUGCCGUGGCAUCCAGAGCCGGCCCUGCCAGAAGCCCUCAGACUGCGGCGGCUGCCUGGGCCUCUACACCUGCAGGCCGCCCGGCACCUGCGGCCUGAAGGCCGUCUCCCGGCAGAGAGGGGGGUUCCUGCAGAGCAUCCAGGGGCAUGCCAUCCUGGAGCAACGCAGCUAA